AGAGUUUGAUCCUGGCUCAGGACGAACGCUGGCGGCGCGCUUAACACAUGCAAGUCGAGCGGAGUUGAUUUUUAACACCCGAGCUCAUGAAGGGACUUUGUGAAGUUGGGGGUUGAAGAUCAACUUAGUGGCGGACGGGUGAGUAACACGUGAGCAACCUGCCUUUCAGAGGGGGAUAACGAUUGGAAACGAUCGCUAAUACCGCAUGAUGUAUGACUGUCGCAUGGCAGACAUACCAAAGAUUUUAUCGCUGAGAGAUGGGCUCGCGGCCGAUUAGGCAGUUGGUGAGGUAACGGCUCACCAAACCUACGAUCGGUAGCCGGACUGAGAGGUUGAACGGCCACAUUGGGACUGAGACACGGCCCAGACUCCUACGGGAGGCAGCAGUGGGGAAUAUUGGGCAAUGGGCGCAAGCCUGACCCAGCGACGCCGCGUGAGGGAAGAAGGUUUUCGGAUUGUAAACCUCUGUCUUCAGGGACGAUAAUGACGGUACCUGAGGAGGAAGCCACGGCUAACUACGUGCCAGCAGCCGCGGU
RNAcentral lists this ribosomal RNA (536 nucleotides) under uncultured bacterium. RNAcentral's name for it is "bacterial SSU rRNA". It matches the Rfam family "Bacterial small subunit ribosomal RNA", at positions 8 to 521 of the family's 1533-position model. The record is from RNAcentral.